GACGAACGCUGGCGGCGUGCUUAACACAUGCAAGUCGAACGGAAAGGCCCUGCUUUUGUGGGGUGCUCGAGUGGCGAACGGGUGAGUAACACGUGAGUAACCUGCCCUUGACUUUGGGAUAACUUCAGGAAACUGGGGCUAAUACCGGAUAGGAGCUCCUGCUGCAUGGUGGGGGUUGGAAAGUUUCGGCGGUUGGGGAUGGACUCGCGGCUUAUCAGCUUGUUGGUGGGGUAGUGGCUUACCAAGGCUUUGACGGGUAGCCGGCCUGAGAGGGUGACCGGCCACAUUGGGACUGAGAUACGGCCCAGACUCCUACGGGAGGCAGCAGUGGGGAAUAUUGCACAAUGGGCGGAAGCCGGAUGCAGCAACGCCGCGUGCGGGAGGACGGCCUUCGGGUUGUAAACCGCUUUCGCCUGUGACGAAGCGUGAGUGACGGUAAUGGGUAAAGAAGCACCGGCUAACUACGU
RNAcentral lists this ribosomal RNA (467 nucleotides) under uncultured bacterium. Its description in RNAcentral is "partial 16S ribosomal RNA". It matches the Rfam family "Bacterial small subunit ribosomal RNA", at positions 28 to 506 of the family's 1533-position model. The record is from RNAcentral.